RNAcentral lists this ribosomal RNA (466 nucleotides) under uncultured bacterium. RNAcentral's name for it is "partial 16S ribosomal RNA". It matches the Rfam family "Bacterial small subunit ribosomal RNA", at positions 29 to 507 of the family's 1533-position model. The record is from RNAcentral.
ACGAACGCUGGCGGCGUGCUUAACACAUGCAAGUCGAACGAUGACGACCGAGCUUGCUCGGUCUGAUUAGUGGCGAACGGGUGAGUAACACGUGAGCAACCUGCCCUUCACUCUGGGAUAACCUCGGGAAAUCGGGGCUAAUACCGGAUAUGAGCUCCUGUCGCAUGGCGGGUGUUGGAAAGUUUUUCGGUGAAGGAUGGGCUCGCGGCCUAUCAGUUUGUUGGUGAGGUAGUGGCUCACCAAGGCGAUGACGGGUAGCCGGCCUGAGAGGGCGACCGGCCACACUGGGACUGAGACACGGCCCAGACUCCUACGGGAGGCAGCAGUGGGGAAUAUUGCACAAUGGGCGAAAGCCUGAUGCAGCGACGCCGCGUGAGGGAUGACGGCCUUCGGGUUGUAAACCUCUUUCAGCAGGGAAGAAGCGAAAGUGACGGUACCCGCAGAAGAAGCGCCGGCUAACUACGUG